RNAcentral lists this long non-coding RNA (357 nucleotides) under Olea europaea subsp. europaea. Lineage: Eukaryota; Viridiplantae; Streptophyta; Magnoliopsida; Lamiales; Oleaceae. The record is from RNAcentral.
UAUAGGGCCAAAUUGCCGUUCAUAUUGUAUAGAUCUGGUAGAUUUGUUGUAAUCUCAUAUCAUUUUUGCAUAUUACCUUCCUUUCAAUUCCCAUAAACAGAUUUCAACUGGGGCUCCCUUUUAUGCAUAACUGGCGGAUUCGCUCGCUGGGGAUGCUACAGGAGUAGCUUUUGAUCUUUUAAUGAAAGAUGUAUUAGACGUAGCCAUGAGAGCAGCCAGUUUCAGGUCCGUACUCGACCACUUGAUGACGACUCUGAUUUCAAUCAAGUCAGUUGUCGAGGACAUAGAGAAGCUGAACGGAGUGUUAAAUUACCAACAAGAAGGAGCAGAGACGCUUUAAAAAUGCAUACGAAACGC